AUGGAGAGGUGCAGCACAACUGCAGAUGAACCAGGGCGGUUAGACGGCACAGAGCAAGUGAUCCCACUCCACAGGCACGGGUUCGGGUCGGUUGUGUCCCAGUGGCUCCACGGAGCCAUGGUGGAGACCAUGCUUGAAAGGUUUCUCAUGGUGCUUUCCUGCACUUUGUUUAGCCGCAGUGGUUGCACGCGGGCCAUGGACAAAUCAAACAGCAAGCAAAUCAGCAGCGCUAGCAAUAACCCAUGGUGUGGUGAUGGUGGUGUUGCAAAGGGCUUGAUCGACCCACUGACCACUGUCGUAUGUGCAAGAAGAUGGGUAGAAGAAGCAAUGGUAGAGAAAGCAGCAAUGGUCAGAUUAGUGGCGCAAGACCCCAACUGCGGCGUACACGAAGGGGGUCAAACUUUGACUCAAAGUGAUGUGGAGCCUCACAGCAUCAGCUGGUUGCGACAUCAACAAAAGGCGAUGUACCUCCGUUGGUGGCAUGUAACAUUUGCUGCCAUCUCAAUCAGAAUCAUGCCUCUGGACAGUUUGUUACAAGGCUCCUAUCCCCUUUGGAAACUGCAUGCCUCAACUGAAAAUAAGAACUAUCAUUUCUCUCAACCACUCUCAUGA
RNAcentral lists this ribosomal RNA (612 nucleotides) under Triticum aestivum (bread wheat). RNAcentral's name for it is "partial small subunit ribosomal RNA". Lineage: Eukaryota; Viridiplantae; Streptophyta; Magnoliopsida; Poales; Poaceae. The record is from RNAcentral.